Molecule: long non-coding RNA, 177 nt
Organism: Dermochelys coriacea (leatherback sea turtle)
Lineage: Eukaryota; Metazoa; Chordata; Testudines; Dermochelyidae
Exons: 4
Source: RefSeq, a predicted model, not a curated record
AGUGACUGCAGUGCAGACGUCUGCUCUUUCGAGGGAGAGCACAGGGAUAGAGAGGUGCUGCCUCUCCUCACUCACCCACUUUGCCCCUUCUCCCUGCCCCUGCUGCAUUCAGACAGCACCACUGAGAGGGGCUGAUUCCCACAGGGCCUUUCGGGGAGGACCGGGGAUCCCACCUCU